RNAcentral lists this ribosomal RNA (253 nucleotides) under uncultured bacterium. Its description in RNAcentral is "partial small subunit ribosomal RNA". It matches the Rfam family "Bacterial small subunit ribosomal RNA", at positions 26 to 285 of the family's 1533-position model. The record is from RNAcentral.
AGGACGAACGCUGGCGGCGUGCUUAACACAUGCAAGUCGAGCGGAAGGGCCCUUCGGGGUACUCGAGCGGCGAACGGGUGAGUAACACGUGAGCAACCUGCCCUUAGCUUCGGGAUAGCUCCGGGAAACCGGAAUUAAUACCGAAUAUGACUUUGGCUGACAUCAGCAGAAGUGGAAAGUUUUUCGGCUAGGGAUGGACUCGCGGCCUAUCAGCUAGUUGGUGAGGUACGGCCCACCAAGGCGACGACGGGUA